Chrysemys picta bellii (western painted turtle) is the source of this 3820-nucleotide non-coding RNA. Lineage: Eukaryota; Metazoa; Chordata; Testudines; Emydidae. The record is from RefSeq and is a predicted model, not a curated record.
UUCUUAUUGCUUUCUAGGUUGCUCCCCAUGGUCUUGCAUAAACCAAUAUAUACAGGGUCCCAUUCAUUGGAAAGCCUGUAAGAUGCCAGUACAGCCCCAAAUGAGUAGUACUGGUCUGGGAGGGGGUGUGGCCAGAGUAGCCAGGAGAUGCACUAUUUUAGCGCAUUCUCAGUGCAGCCUCUGCUGGAGGGCCUGGUAGAAACUGUAGCUGCUCUCCCUCAGGAACUUUUGUGAGAGGGUAACGGUAACAAUACAACCUGCUCUGUCCCAGAGAUGACUCUUCCUGCUAUUGCUAGAGCAUAGUGGCCCUUGCAGUUGCAAGGAGGUGCAAUUUGCACUCUGUGUGCCGGUCAGGGUGACUCUAGCUCAAAUGCCUUGGAAAACUUUGAUUUGAUUAUUAGUAUUGCAGACUAUUUCAAGUCUGUACCAACCAGCACUGAAAAAUGGGGCGGAUCCAUCAGUCCUUACUUGACUAAUAGGGGACGACUCUUGUGAUUAAGGAUUACUGAUGUGAAUAAAGGUUGAAGGAUAAGGUCCACUCUAUUAGAUCAAAUGUUAGGACUAAUGAUACAAAGGCUAAAUGUGGGGACCAAAAUAUACAUGUUUUAUAAGGGUCCUCACUACCCAUAUUCCCAAAUAUGUGGACAUGACAUCAUGUACCCAGGAAACCAGUUCUCCAUUUGGUCAUCUACACAGCUAUGUGAAGGAAACGUUAUUCAACUGUGCUCAAAAAUCUAACUAAAAUGCAGUGGUGUUUUCCACCCUAAAGAAUGGCACAGAAACACAGGCUUGCUGUCCGUAAAACAUCAAAAUAUUAGUUUCCAUAUGAAACACAUUUUUGGUUACUCAUCAGUUUAAAGUGGUAAGAUAAAAUAACCAGAAUUACCUGUACUGGAGUGAACUAUCCCCAGGAAGAUCCACCUAGGUCAUGUCCUACAAAUGUAUGAGAAGCACACACAUUUAAAGCGAUUAGAUAGAAAAACAACCCAAAGUGGACAAAGAAAACCUUUAAAAGAUAGUCUCAAAGAGAAACUCUAGCAGCGUAGUAGACAAAUGCCACCCACUCACAUCAACAGGUGGGGGAAAUGGAUGGAUCCGGGGACACACCCAGUAGAAAGGGAAGGAGGCAGUUGCCAAGGACAAUAAGUAGUUCCUCCCAUGGGAAUCUCUGGCACCCAUUGGCCUGCUGGGGGAGAGGGUUGCUGAUUGGCCAACAUUCCUCAGCUCCUAGGAUUUAGCCCUGCGCAGGGGCCAUGUGGAAAGCUCUUUCGGCUCCGUUCCAGCAGCCUGCCCUGUCCACCCAAACUAGGAAUGGGAACCCAGUUUGACAGAUGCUGUGGGUCUAGAUGAUUGCCUGUUUAGGGGGGUCAGGAAGGAAUUUAUUCUCCCAUGGACCAAAUUAGCAGAGGACCGGGCAGUUUUUUGCCUUCCUCACAGCGCUGCAAGCCACCGUGGGUUAAUUAGGAAUGUGCAUGGUACCUAGCUGAGGUACUGGGGUAGUGUUGCUUACUUGUCACAGUUCACGGCUGGUUGCCAGUGCAGUUAAGAGAAUAAAAUGAAUGGCUCCCAGAGGUAAAAGAUUUGGGAUUUUGGGGAUGGGCCUUGGGUUCAUGUGGUAGGGUGAGACCUUGUGGCCUCUGUGGACCAAGGUCCCAACCCUGCUACACCCUCUGUCCCUCCUCCGAGGGGGGAGGAUGCUAGAACUCAGAAAGAGCUGAGGAGAGCCUACAUCACUUUAUGGGUUAUACGGUAAGAAGCCCUAUAAUCUUGGCUCCAAUUAUGGGUCAUAUCAUACGGAGCCCUCAAGUCCCUGCACUGGAACCAAUUAAAUGCCUGGUAUACGAGAAUAUGGGUGAUGGGAGGGCAAUGCCCUGCCCUUGUGCUAAAAGUUUAAUAAAAGUUGCAGCCUGCCGCUUAAUUCCAUGCAUUUGUCUGUCCUUGUUUUGUAGCCGUGUCCACAUCAAUGCACUUAAGGAAACUAUAGCUACUGAAUGAACUAAUUCUUUAUGCAUGAUAAAUAAUGAUGGAGUGAAACUAUUUGAAGAUAACUUUCAUUGGACUUGAAAUGCCAACUGCAUCUGCCACACAUCACCCACAGUAUCAGCUUCGUCAAUGAAAUAUCAGGAGUACCCUGCCUGUAUCAGUUCCCCAGAGGCCAUCUUUGACUCCUUCUCUGGCUGUGCUUGUACAGAUGUCAACUGUGGAUAAAGAUAGUUCUAGAAAGAAACUGAUGAAGGAACUGCUACUUAGCAAGAGAUGUUGUGGUCCAGUGAGGAGGACAGAGGACUGUGAGGCAAGUGCCCUGGGAUUUACUCCCAGAUCUGCCUGAACUCCCUCUUUAUCCUUAAGCAAGACACUAAAAUAUUUCUGCCCCUCAGUUUCUUCAGCUGUAAAAUCUGAGAUCUAUAGAAGAAAACUGCCCUGUCCUCAUCAUUAUUUACUACUCUGCUAAGUAUUAUUGCUUUAUGGCCGAGAAGGACGGAAACUGGUAUAAAGGUGUGAGAUGCAGAAUACCACCAGUCAAUACUGUCAAUGCACAGACACCAGAGAGUACGGGCCAGAUAACAAAGCUGUAUCAAUUUACACCAGCUGAGACGCUGGUCCAUUUGUUUGUUCCAAGAAGUAAAAUGAAGGGUAGAUGUUUGAAAGGCCAGGAAUCUGAUUAGGUCAUUAAAAAUAAGUGAACAAAUUUAAUGUAAAAAGUGAGUUGUCCAGAAGAAUUCUAGAGACUUGAACAUCAAUAAUCAUUAAGAAUUACCCAUAUUUCCCUGUUAAAAAGUAUCCAUUCCCAGGUUUACCAGUUUUCAAUAGCCUCCUCAUUUAAAAUAAUUUUUACAGUUAGGGCUGAAAAAAAAUUCCACGUUAACUCAUCACCGCUGCUUGAUCAUGAGUCUCUCUACGCAUCACUUCUAAUGGAAUAGCCAAGCAAACUGAAAAAUAACAUUGCUGGCUGUUCAGCACUCUAUAUCCUCCUGCAGCAUUAAACGGCCUAUAUACGAAAGGAACGCUUCGAACACAUAACAUUCAUUUAACAUUCUCAAGUGUAAAAUGAAAGUUCUUCAUUAUUGUAUAGUCUGUUAUCUGUCAGAAUAAUCCUUCCAAGGAGUUAGACACAUUAUUAUUAUGGAGUUACUGGUUGUGACUCCAUCAUUAAGGCGGUCUUGAAAAAUGCAGUUAAAGUGAGUUCCAUUAAUUUUUAUAGGUACAACAAAAAUAUUUCCUCCCCAAAGUCACACCUCUGAUUAAAGGCAUAUAGACUGAAUAUUUGUGAAAGAUUUAAGUGACUGAAUUGAAAAGGUUAAAAGUAAGAAGAAUUUUGUAAAUGCCCCCUUUAUGAAAAUUUUCACUAGUUUAAAACAUUUAUUUGGAUCUCUCUAAUUAAAACAUAGGAAAGUUAUAUUUACCACAUAGCUAUUGUUAGUGUCUCCAGUUUAUGGUAUGUGCUGAAUUAAUAUUUACAAAAUAAAUAAUUUAUUUACUUUUGUGUCAGAAUUUCUUCCAUUUACUCUAAGGCACAUGACAAAUGACACAACCAGGAUAUUCAUAGGGGCUAGGACAAGAUGUCAAGUACCUGCAGCAGUGCCGCAUGCAGUAGCCCCGCUCUCAGUGGCUGCCUUUUGCAUCAUACCUUGAAGCUCUAUACCCUCCAGUCAAAGGGUUCAUCUACUCCUUGUUUCUGUCCCCACCAGUGUAAAGUGCAAUAUUGUAAGAAACAGCAUAGUAUAUGUUAUACCAAUGGAAUAAAAACCAGCAGGAUCUUAUUAAGAGGGAUAAGGUAAAGAUGCCACAUUUAUUGUAAAUAUAAUAAUAAAGCAAAAGA